CUCAGAUUAGCCAUGCAUGUCUAAGUACAUGCCGUAUUAAGGCGAAACCGCGAAUGGCUCAUUAAAUCAGUUAUGGUUCCUUGGAUCGUACCUUACUACUUGGAUAACUGUGGCAAUUCUAGAGCUAAUACAUGCAGCAGAGCUCCGACCUUCGGGGACGAGCGCUUUUAUUAGACCAAAACCAAUCGGACCUCGUGUCCGUACGAUGUGGUGACUCUGUAUAACUUUGGGCUGAUCGCACGGGCCUGUCCCGGCGACGUAUCUUUCAAGUGUCUGCCUUAUCAACUGUCGAUGGUAGGUUACUCGCCUACCAUGGUCGUAACGGGUGACGGGGAAUCAGGGUUCGAUUCCGGAGAGGGAGCCUGAGAAACGGCUACCACAUCCAAGGAAGGCAGCAGGCGCGCAAAUUACCCACUCCCGGAACGGGGAGGUAGUGACGAAAAAUAACAAUACGGGACUCUUUUGAGACCCCGUAAUUGGAAUGAGUACACUCUAAAUCCUUUAACGAGGAUCCAUUGGAGGGCAAGUCUGGUGCCAGCAGCUGCGGUAAUUCCAGCUCCAAUAGCGUAUAUUAAAGUUGUUGCGGUUAAAAAGCUCGUAGUUGGAUCUCAGUUCCAGACGGGUGGUCCGCCUACCGGUGGUCACUGCCUGUUCUGAACAGCCAGCCGGUUUCUCUUGAUGAUCUUCACCGGUUGUCUUGGGUGACCGGCAAGUUUACUUUGAAAAAAUUAGAGUGCUCAAAGCAGGCGUGACGCCUGAAUAAUGGUGCAUGGAAUAAUGGAAUAGGACCUCGGUUCUAUUUUGUUGGUUUUCGGAACACGAGGUAAUGAUUAAGAGGGACAGACGGGGGCAUUCGUAUUGCGACGCUAGAGGUGAAAUUCUUGGACCGUCGCAAGACGAACUACUGCGAAAGCAUUUGCCAAGAAUGUUUCCAUUAAUCAAGAACGAAAGUUAGAGGUUCGAAGGCGAUCAGAUACCGCCCUAGUUCUAACCAUAAACGAUGCCAGCCAGCGAUCCGGCUGUGUUCCUCAAAUGACC
Molecule: ribosomal RNA, 1038 nt
Filed under: Asianopis zhuanghaoyuni
Lineage: Eukaryota; Metazoa; Arthropoda; Arachnida; Araneae; Deinopidae
Description: SSU rRNA
Rfam family: Eukaryotic small subunit ribosomal RNA
Source: RNAcentral